This 1502-nucleotide ribosomal RNA is filed under the name uncultured bacterium. RNAcentral describes it as "16S ribosomal RNA". It matches the Rfam family "Bacterial small subunit ribosomal RNA". The record is from RNAcentral.
AGAGUUUGAUCCUGGCUCAGAUUGAACGCUGGCGGCAGGCCUAACACAUGCAAGUCGAGCGGUAGCACAAGGAGCUUGCUCCUGGGUGACGAGCGGCGGACGGGUGAGUAAUGUCUGGGAAACUGCCCGAUGGAGGGGGAUAACUACUGGAAACGGUAGCUAAUACCGCAUAACGUCUUCGGACCAAAGUGGGGGACCUUCGGGCCUCACACCAUCGGAUGUGCCCAGAUGGGAUUAGCUAGUAGGUGAGGUAAUGGCUCACCUAGGCGACGAUCCCUAGCUGGUCUGAGAGGAUGACCAGCCACACUGGAACUGAGACACGGUCCAGACUCCUACGGGAGGCAGCAGUGGGGAAUAUUGCACAAUGGGCGCAAGCCUGAUGCAGCCAUGCCGCGUGUGUGAAGAAGGCCUUCGGGUUGUAAAGCCCUUUUGUUGGGAAAGAAAUCCAGCCGGCUAAUACCUGGUUGGGAUGACGGUACCCAAAGAAUAAGCACCGGCUAACUUCGUGCCAGCAGCCGCGGUAAUACGAAGGGUGCAAGCGUUACUCGGAACUACUGGGCGUAAAGCGUGCGUAGGUGGUUGUUUAAGUCUGUUGUGAAAGCCCUGGGCUCAACCUGGGAACUGCAGUGGAAACUGGACAACUAGAGUGUGGUAGAGGGUAGCGGAAUUCCCGGUGUAGCAGUGAAAUGCGUAGAGAUCGGGAGGACAUCCAUGGCGAAGGCAGCUACCUGGACCAACACUGACACUGAGGCACGAAAGCGUGGGAGCAAACAGGAUUAGAUACCCUGGUAGNCCACGCCCUAAACGAUGCGAACUGGAUGUUGGGUGCAAUUUGGCACGCAGUAUCGAAGCUAACGCGUUAAGUUCGCCGCCUGGGGAGUACGGUCGCAAGACUGAAACUCAAAGGAAUUGACGGGGGCCCGCACAAGCGGUGGAGUAUGUGGUUUAAUUCGAUGCAACGCGAAGAACCUUACCUGGCCUUGACAUGUCGAGAACUUUCCAGAGAUGGAUUGGUGCCUUCGGGAACUCGAACACAGGCGCUGCAUGGCUGUCGUCAGCUCGUGUCGUGAGAUGUUGGGUUAAGUCCCGCAACGAGCGCAACCCUUGUCCUUAGUUGCCAGCACGUAAUGGUGGGAACUCUAAGGAGACCGCCGGUGACAAACCGGAGGAAGGUGGGGAUGACGUCAAGUCAUCAUGGCCCUUACGGCCAGGGCUACACACGUACUACAAUGGUAGGGACAGAGGGCUGCAAGCCGGCGACGGUAAGCCAAUCCCAGAAACCCUAUCUCAGUCCGGAUUGGAGUCUGCAACUCGACUCCAUGAAGUCGGAAUCGCUAGUAAUCGCAGAUCAGCAUUGCUGCGGUGAAUACGUUCCCGGGCCUUGUACACACCGCCCGUCACACCAUGGGAGUUUGUUGCACCAGAAGCAGGUAGCUUAACCUUCGGGAGGGCGCUUGCCACGGUGUGGCCGAUGACUGGGGUGAAGUCGUAACAAGGUAACC